Molecule: long non-coding RNA, 1825 nt
Filed under: Homo sapiens (human)
Lineage: Eukaryota; Metazoa; Chordata; Mammalia; Primates; Hominidae
Description: HSALNT0338388
Source: RNAcentral
AUUGACAUCUUAAAUUGGAACCACUUUAAAUUCAACGUAUGGCCACAGAUGUUUUGGACCACUUAUAUUAAAUAAGUCAGUCAAAACUGAAGAUCAGCUUUUGAUCAUGAAGAGGAGAUUAGGUCACAGAUGUUCAAUAAGGAAAGACCAUGUGAAGACACAAGAAGAUGGUCAUCUGCAAGCCAAGAGAAAUGUCUCAAAAGGAACUGGCCCUGCUGACAUCUUGACCUUGAAUUUCCAGCCUCAGGUUCUUGGAUGCUUGAUGGAAUUAAGGAUUUGAGAACAUGAGAACAAACAGGAAUAUGCAGGAAAUCUUGAGGACACAGGAGAUGAAGUCAACCUGUGGCCAAGGGAGAGGGAGGGACAUGAGAAGCUUUGUGAAAGAUGUCAGCGCAAACCUCAGGCAAGUGCCACCCAACCUAGAGCUGUGGAUUGAAGUUUGGCGUUGGGGUGUCAGCCUGUGAUUUCCUGAUCUCCAACUCCACUCCUCUUAAGUCACCCAGCCUAAGGCACUGAACCUCAUCAUCAGAACCUCAGAGUCCAACAUCUUGACCAUAGCCUUGCAACCCCACUGUUAGGUGAGUUUCAAGUUCUCACUCCCCAUAAACUUCUUCAGACCACUGCUCCCUCGAAUGACUUUGUUUCCUCCCAGGUCAUCAGUUUCCUUAGUCAAUUUCCAAGUCCUAUCAGUUGUAGACACUACGAUUGGUCAUCCCAUCUGAGUGACUAUUUCACUUAAACUUGCCUUUCCUCCUCUGUUUGCAAUAACUCUCAUACAUAGCUCUAGCUUAACAUCCACGUUGCCUUCUCUAUUCUUACCUCCAGGACAGCAGAACACUAAACAUUAAGUUCUUCAAUGCUAAAAAACAUCCUGUAAUCACGAAAAUCAGCCCAGUACAAAUUCAUGCUCACUACACGUGGUUCUCAGCUGCUGUGGGGCCUCUCUCUUCCCUUCAGUAUCCACAGACUUGCAACGUUCUUCUCAGCCUUCCUUCGCACCACUAAAUUAUCUCAUUAAGUCAGGACCAUCUGGUGGGAACUCCUUUAACUUCCCAGGGCCCAGGAAAAAUAAACCAUAUUUACCCAUGCCUCCCUCUUUCUCCAUGUGCCUUUUCAAGAAGAGAGGCUCUUCUCCCAGUGUCUCUCUCCCUGAUUCCAUAUCACCCUCUCUUCUUUGGGAUACUUCUCCAAAGAGUGUGGUCUUUCAGGUAUCCUUACUGUCUUAUGACUGAGUCAUUCCACUUGGCUUAUGAACCUCUUUGUUGCUUAUUCCAGGCACUCUGAGUCUCCCCUGCAUUCAGUCUCCCUUCAGCAUACAACACUGUUCAUGAUGCUUUUUGUAAAGCCCUCUGCUUCCCCAUCCUCCUUAGAUCUUCUGCUACUACUCUGGCCAGUUUUUUCUCUGUCUGCUGCUUCUCCUUCCCUUGACCUAUUACUUCCUUCCUCCUCCUGAAGAAAUCUGAUCUGCAGCUCCUCUUCUGUUUUCAUCAGUGUGCUCACUCUUGAUGCUGCUGCUCCUGCAGCUACUGCCAAGUCUCACUUGAUAGACAGUACCCACUCCAUAUGGGGCAAGAAUAAAAAUCACCAAAAAUAGACAGUUAUAAACAAAUGUCCCUGCCCAUAAGAUUUAUGUAAUCGUACUUUAUCCAUGUGUUAUAUUGCUAAGGACAUGGUGACUGUGACAGAUGUAACAUAAUAGAUGCAAUUGACAUAUACAGUAUUUCUUAUAGCUAAACUACAGCUAAGUUAUUAUAUUUGAAAAAUAAUAUAUGAGACACAUCAAUAAUUGGUUUCAUUGUUAAAAAUAUACACACAAAGCAUCUUA